RNAcentral lists this ribosomal RNA (210 nucleotides) under uncultured bacterium. Its description in RNAcentral is "partial 16S ribosomal RNA". It matches the Rfam family "Bacterial small subunit ribosomal RNA", at positions 1291 to 1500 of the family's 1533-position model. The record is from RNAcentral.
GUUCGGAUUGUAGUCUGCAACUCGACUACAUGAAGCUGGAAUCGCUAGUAAUCGCGAAUCAGAAUGUCGCGGUGAAUACGUUCCCGGGUCUUGUACACACCGCCCGUCACACCAUGGGAGUCAGUAACGCCCGAAGUCAGUGGCCCAACCUUAGGGAGGGAGCUGCCGAAGGCGGGACAGAUGACUGGGGUGAAGUCGUAACAAGGUACC